CGGUUGCUGAACGAUGCGUCAGGCUGAUUUAUCUCUGGGGCUAUAAAUAAUCCUUUGGGAGCUGCCUCUGCUAGGACUGUGGUCCCAGUAUAGUGGUGCCCACCUGUAUUUGCAGGCCACAGAGGAUAUUCAAUGUCAACGAUCGAGUCGGCUUCCGU
This 158-nucleotide non-coding RNA is filed under the name Rhodospirillaceae bacterium. RNAcentral's name for it is "6S RNA". It matches the Rfam family "6S / SsrS RNA". From Rfam's summary of the family: E. coli 6S RNA was the first non coding RNA to be sequenced, but its function was unknown until recently. It consists of 184 nucleotides that fold into an extended hairpin structure with a large single-stranded internal bulge. The 6S RNA specifically associates with RNA polymerase holoenzyme containing the sigma70 specificity factor. Lineage: Bacteria; Pseudomonadati; Pseudomonadota; Alphaproteobacteria; Rhodospirillales; Rhodospirillaceae. The record is from RNAcentral.